RNAcentral lists this long non-coding RNA (1217 nucleotides) under Betta splendens (Siamese fighting fish). RNAcentral's name for it is "lncRNA (ENSBSLG00000025285.1)". Lineage: Eukaryota; Metazoa; Chordata; Actinopteri; Anabantiformes; Osphronemidae. The record is from RNAcentral.
AGGAAAACGCCUACACGCAGACUAGGUCUCACUGGUGCACGCUGUCACGCACACGUUUGUGUACGUCUUCCAGGUUGGGUUGUGUUGACGCGCUGGAGACCUCAAACACAGCUGGAACAAACCACACCAGAGAGAGUCAGGACGAGGCCUGUGUGGUUCUGUGACACAUCACGUGAAACCACCACAGGCGCAGCGUGAGCUUAGUUCACUGUUGUUCACACAGGCUGUUCAAACACACUGUACCCACCCAGUGGAAGAUUGAUGCGCUCUGGAUGGACGUCCAGUCGUCUGUGACAUCCUGAAGUCAGGCAGCAGUUGUUCCUCAUGGUUGUUUCCUGAUGUUGAUGAGCAGGAUAAAGUACCAGAAUACCAGAGCCCCAGAGGUAAUGUGAAGGUGAAAGACUCACAUGGAUAGUGUUGCAGUAGUGCAUUAAGUGACUUAAACAAACAACACUUUCAAAUGAAUCCAGAGGCAAACCAGAAGCGGAUGGAGAACCGCUAGCACGGGGCCAGACGUGGUCGUCUCCUGAAGACGAGAUGCUUGAGGUGUCCCACAGGUUUGAGAAGCGGUCGGUGCAUCGCUGUGGAGCAGCGCACGAAGAACAAACAGUGAAAUAUUUCCAGAUCUCAUGGUCUGCGGUCGCCUGCAAAGACAAAGCUACUGGCCCACCGCUGUAUGUGUGGGUGAGUGGGUGGGUGGGUCGCUGUGCGUUUCCAGCACAAACAAAAACCAAGACUAAUUUUUUAAAGGUUUGCCAAUUUUUCCUAAAAUUCUCUUCUCUGUUUCCAAAAACAAAUUACUGUUUUUAAUCACAACAGCUCUUCUUUAGUUUUCAACAUGAUAUGCUGCAUAUUCUCAGACGGGCAGGGGAAAAUUCCCAUGCACUGUCAUUCAGAUAGUGAAGAUAAAGGUCAGACUACUUUUGCAAUCUAAUCAUUGUGAGUAGAAGACCAAACACGGCGGAGAUGGAAUUCAGUUUGAGGAGCGCUGAUAAUGAAGAAAUUUCACCAUUUGUAUUUAAAUGUAAAUAUUUACUCCAACCGUACAGUAGUCCUCAUUUCCUCUGCUUAUGCUCAUCGGUUUAGACUGAAAUACUCCAAAAACAACUGGAAAGACCCUCGAGGAUUGAUUCUGAUCCAACCCUCCCUCCUGUGCAACAACACUUGUGGUGAAUUAAACAUGAUGAUACCAAUAACUGUGAUGUUUUCUAGAAACG